RNAcentral lists this ribosomal RNA (273 nucleotides) under uncultured bacterium. RNAcentral's name for it is "partial 16S ribosomal RNA". It matches the Rfam family "Bacterial small subunit ribosomal RNA", at positions 524 to 796 of the family's 1533-position model. The record is from RNAcentral.
UACGAAGGGGGCUAGCGUUGUUCGGAAUUACUGGGCGUAAAGCGCACGUAGGCGGAUACUUAAGUUAGGGGUGAAAUCCCAGGGCUCAACCCUGGAACUGCCUUUAAUACUGGGUAUCUCGAGUCCGAGAGAGGUGAGUGGAAUUCCGAGUGUAGAGGUGAAAUUCGUAGAUAUUCGGAGGAACACCAGUGGCGAAGGCGGCUCACUGGCUCGGUACUGACGCUGAGGUGCGAAAGCGUGGGGAGCAAACAGGAUUAGAAACCCCAGUAGUCC